UCAAAGUUUUUUCCUGAGUGUGGAAAUUAUUUCAUUAGUAAUUUUAAGUUAUGCAGAUAUAGUUAAUACCAAGAAAUAAUUGAACUGAAAAGGAACCCGGAUAUCUAGUUUUAACCAGCUGUUUUAAAGAUAAACAGUUCUAGAGAUCAAAUGAAUAGUUUAGCAACAUAUUUAUUGUAACUUACCUGUAGUUAGAAUCCAAGUCCCUGGCUUUCCAAUCCAGUCUUCAAUGUAUAAUACUGAUCAAAAGAAAUACAGGCCUGCUAUUAUUCAUAAAUUUAAACUAUUAUGUACAAGUUGAUAGCUUAUAAUAGAAAUCAGUAUGAUUAGUGUUAAAAGUCAAAUUUAGUCUGACAGGGAAGGAAUGUCCAUGUGAACUGAUUUUUUUUAAUAGAAUGCAAAUUAAUACUCAAUUCCUGAUUUGUUUAUUACAUUUUGUGGUUUAAUGAAAUGAUACUCAGGUCAUUUUCAUAAAUAGCUUUUCUAUUAAUGCUUCCUCAGUCACAUUCUCUAUUCCUAUUGCAUAGCACAGUCUAACAGUUGAAAUGCCUAAGCCUUACUGAAUGAUGACUGAUAUUCUCUGUGAGAGUUAGAGCUGUACUAUAAAUAUACAUUACCUGUGCAAAGUAUGCCUUCAGGGGCUAUUCCCCAUAACCUUAGCAAAAUUUUAAAAUAUUCUUAUGGCUAGCAAUCUUAUCUAUUGUCAUGUCUUACUAUUUCCUGCUUACCACCCCCAUUUCUCUCUCAACCUUGUUGCUGCAUUAGCUGUCCAUCACUUAACACUGUUUAUUUCUCUGUUUUUCUUCCAUCAUUCUCUUCUUUGCAACUAAAUGAUUUAGACUUUUUAUAACCAUAAUCAACCAGUUAGAUUCUUUUUAUUUGUGGUUAUUGAGUUGAUAAAUGAUAGUGCAUUUUAUGUAAUAUUCAGGUGUUAUGCUAUUUUUAUCUGGUUCACUUUAAAACCUCCCUCCCCCCACUCCCUUUUUUUGUGGGUUUUUUUUUUAUUAUUAUUAUUUUCCAGUUUUGUGUUGUUUUGCUUUUUAACUUCUGAGAUUGCAGUGGUUCCAGAUGGUUGAAAUCACUAGUAGUGAUUUACAUGAAGCAUUCAUGUAUUUAUUACUGGUAUAUUCAACUAUGGUGGAGGGAAAUUGGUCGAAGAAUUACGGUUAAAGAGCUCCUUUAAAAAGGAGAUUUGUAGAAUUCUAAAAUGUGAUUCUGAUUCAUAUAGUCAUGAUUCUUAGAAAUUAGCUACAGGAAGAGAUAGAAACAUUGCUAUAGUUGUCUUUGCCCUAAGUUUGGAGUUUUAUAGUGUAAUAUAUAUAUAAUAGCUCUAAUUAUAAAUACACUUUUACUCUGGAAAAAGCAUAGACAUUGACAUAAGAGACAUUUAAAAACCAUUAUUUUCUCAUCUGUAAAAUGGAGAGAAUUACUUCAUAUGUUCACUUAUAAGGAUUAUGUGAAAUACUGUUCCAUUCCAUUAGUAGUUUUUCUUUUCCUCUAAUUGGGGGUGGGGGCAGUUUUUGGCAUUCUAUUUAUGGAAGGUGUUUUUUUCCCUAAGAUCAUUUUGAUGUCUCAGAAGACAUUUGCUAUGUACGUUGGACAUUUGCCAUGUACAUUGUAGAGAAUACAAAGAUAAACAGAACCACAGUACAGCUGGUUCUAUUAGACAUUGAAAAUGCAUAUUCUAGCAUAUUUAAUAUAUUAGGGAACAAUUUAAGCAUAAUGUGAAUUUCAUGUUUACUGAAGAUUUCAUCCUGAGAAACAAAUGAAAGCAGAAAAUUACAACCAACUGAACCAGCUGUGUAAGAAAUAUAUAUAUGGUGUGCACACAUGUACAUACCUCAGACAUCUAUUAGCAUUCUCAGUUUUCCACAAGUUAAAAGCCACGCUCAUCCAUAUCUGGUGCUAAUAACUUCCUAUCCAAUUUCAGAUAGCUGUUUUCAACACAUCUGACACCUUCUUUUUUUCAAGCAAACUUCAGGUCUUUUUCAAGAUAAAGUCAUUUAUAGUAGUGUCUAUAUAUUUCUUAACCAUUUAACAUGUAAACUGUGCUGCCUUUUAAGAAAUUAAUUCUAUCCUUUUUAGUGUCAGAGUUGAAGAUUUUGAGUGUUGUGCCCUAACCUUAUCAUUUUCCUCAUAAGUCCUGUGGUUUUUAUUGUAUGAUUUUGCAUAGUGUGGCAAUUCUUGGAAAUGCUUAUGUUGUGUUAUAGUAUAACUGACUUACUACUUUCAAAUAGCUUCUAGUCUGAUUCAUGUUAUGACAGUAUACAGUAUAGCAAAAUAAGGACAUCAGGGAACAGGAGGCUGAGCAUAUCACCAUUUACCAAUGGUAGCUUGAGCAAGGCACUUCAUUUAUCGAAGUCCAUUUUCUCAUCUGUACAAUGGAGGUGAUGAUAGUACAUGUCUUUUCUGUCUUGUGUUAUUUGUAGUUUCAAGUAAGAUAUGAAAUAUGCUGUAGAAAUACAGGGUUGGGAAUAUCUAGUGGUACAAAAAUCAACUUUUGGCCCAAUUUUAAGGUGAGAUAAUUAUGAGACAUUUUUCGACCUCAAAGUCUUUGUUCUUUUCUCUCUACACCAUUGUGAAUAACACAGUGUAUAUAUGAGAUUAAUUUAUUACCUCGACUUUCCAUUUUUGUUUUGUAAAGUAGU
RNAcentral lists this long non-coding RNA (2648 nucleotides) under Homo sapiens (human). RNAcentral's name for it is "long non-coding RNA NONHSAT225255". The record is from RNAcentral. Lineage: Eukaryota; Metazoa; Chordata; Mammalia; Primates; Hominidae.